Molecule: non-coding RNA, 179 nt
Filed under: Azoarcus sp.
Lineage: Bacteria; Pseudomonadati; Pseudomonadota; Betaproteobacteria; Rhodocyclales; Zoogloeaceae
Description: 6S RNA
Rfam family: 6S / SsrS RNA
About the family: E. coli 6S RNA was the first non coding RNA to be sequenced, but its function was unknown until recently. It consists of 184 nucleotides that fold into an extended hairpin structure with a large single-stranded internal bulge.
Source: RNAcentral
AAUCCCCUGCUGUGUUCGUGGAAGCCGUAGUUUCCUUGAACCAAUAUCGAGAGACCGGUUGCUGACCAUUGAAACUGCCAGUGUGCACGCCCCUCGUGGGCGAGCCUGAGGCAGAAGGAAAGUGACCCCCUGAACCAAAGGUUCAGGAUAUCCGGCGAUACGGCACGUGCGGGGGGCCC